CUAAUACAUGCAAGUCGAGCGGACAGAUGGGAGCUUGCUCCCUGAUGUUAGCGGCGGACGGGUGAGUAACACGUGGGUAACCUGCCUGUAAGACUGGGAUAACUCCGGGAAACCGGGGCUAAUACCGGAUGGUUGUCUGAACCGCAUGGUUCAGACAUAAAAGGUGGCUUCGGCUACCACUUACAGAUGGACCCGCGGCGCAUUAGCUAGUUGGUGAGGUAACGGCUCACCAAGGCGACGAUGCGUAGCCGACCUGAGAGGGUGAUCGGCCACACUGGGACUGAGACACGGCCCAGACUCCUACGGGAGGCAGCAGUAGGGAAUCUUCCGCAAUGGACGAAAGUCUGACGGAGCAACGCCGCGUGAGUGAUGAAGGUUUUCGGAUCGUAAAGCUCUGUUGUUAGGGAAGAACAAGUGCCGUUCAAAUAGGGCGGCACCUUGACGGUACCUAACCAGAAAGCCACGGCUAACUACGUGCCAGCAGCCGCGGUAAUACGUAGGUGGCAAGCGUUGUCCGGAAUUAUUGGGCGUAAAGGGCUCGCAGGCGGUUUCUUAAGUCUGAUGUGAAAGCCCCCGGCUCAACCGGGGAGGGUCAUUGGAAACUGGGGAACUUGAGUGCAGAAGAGGAGAGUGGAAUUCCACGUGUAGCGGUGAAAUGCGUAGAGAUGUGGAGGAACACCAGUGGCGAAGGCGACUCUCUGGUCUGUAACUGACGCUGAGGAGCGAAAGCGUGGGGAGCGAACAGGAUUAGAUACC
Molecule: ribosomal RNA, 756 nt
Filed under: Bacillus subtilis
Lineage: Bacteria; Bacillati; Bacillota; Bacilli; Caryophanales; Bacillaceae
Description: bacterial SSU rRNA
Rfam family: Bacterial small subunit ribosomal RNA
Source: RNAcentral